Molecule: ribosomal RNA, 468 nt
Filed under: uncultured bacterium
Lineage: Bacteria
Description: bacterial SSU rRNA
Rfam family: Bacterial small subunit ribosomal RNA
Source: RNAcentral
CAAGUCGAACGGCAGCACGGGGGCAACCCUGGUGGCGAGUGGCGAACGGGUGAGUAAUACAUCGGAACGUGUCCUGUAGUGGGGGAUAGCCCGGCGAAAGCCGGAUUAAUACCGCAUACGAUCUACGGAUGAAAGCGGGGGAUCUUCGGACCUCGCGCUAGAGGGGCGGCCGAUGGCAGAUUAGCUAGUUGGUGGGGUAAAGGCCUACCAAGGCGACGAUCUGUAGCUGGUCUGAGAGGACGACCAGCCACACUGGGACUGAGACACGGCCCAGACUCCUACGGGAGGCAGCAGUGGGGAAUUUUGGACAAUGGGGGCAACCCUGAUCCAGCAAUGCCGCGUGUGUGAAGAAGGCCUUCGGGUUGUAAAGCACUUUUGUCCGGAAAGAAAACCUCUGGGUUAAUACCCCGGGGGGAUGACGGUACCGGAAGAAUAAGCACCGGCUAACUACGUGCCAGCAGCCGCGGU